Molecule: ribosomal RNA, 490 nt
Filed under: uncultured bacterium
Lineage: Bacteria
Description: partial 16S ribosomal RNA
Rfam family: Bacterial small subunit ribosomal RNA
Source: RNAcentral
AUUGAACGCUGGCGGCAGGCCUAACACAUGCAAGUCGAACGGUAACAGGAAGAAGCUUGCUUCUUUGCUGACGAGUGGCGGACGGGUGAGUAAUGUCUGGGAAACUGCCUGAUGGAGGGGGAUAACUACUGGAAACGGUAGCUAAUACCGCAUAACGUCGCAAGACCAAAAAGGGGGACCUUCGGGCCUCUUGCCAUCGGAUGUGCCCAGAUGGGAUUAGCUAGUAGGUGGGGUAACGGCUCACCUAGGCGACGAUCCCUGGCUGGUCUGAGAGGAUGACCAGCCACACUGGAACUGAGACACGGUCCAGACUCCUACGGGAGGCAGCAGUGGGGAAUAUUGCACAAUGGGCGCAAGCCUGAUGCAGCCAUGCCGCGUGUAUGAAGAAGGCCUUCGGGUUGUAAAGUACUUUCAGCGGGGAGGAAGGGAGUAAAGUUAAUACCUUUGCUCAUUGACGUUACCCGCAGAAGAAGCACCGGCUAACUCCGUG